GACGUAGGGCGCGAGCGUUGUCCGGAUUUAUUGGGCGUAAAGGGCUCGUAGGCGGUUUGUCGCGUCGGGAGUGAAAACCCAGGGCUUAACUCUGGGCUGGCUUCCGAUACGGGCAGACUAGAGGCAUGCAGGGGAGAACGGAAUUCCUGGUGUAGCGGUGAAAUGCGCAGAUAUCAGGAGGAACACCGGUGGCGAAGGCGGUUCUCUGGGCAUGUCCUGACGCUGAGGAGCGAAAGUGUGGGGAGCGAACAGG
RNAcentral lists this ribosomal RNA (253 nucleotides) under uncultured bacterium. RNAcentral's name for it is "partial 16S ribosomal RNA". It matches the Rfam family "Bacterial small subunit ribosomal RNA", at positions 524 to 776 of the family's 1533-position model. The record is from RNAcentral.